Molecule: ribosomal RNA, 253 nt
Filed under: uncultured bacterium
Lineage: Bacteria
Description: partial 16S ribosomal RNA
Rfam family: Bacterial small subunit ribosomal RNA
Source: RNAcentral
UACGGGGGGUGCGAGCGUUGUCCGGAAUCACUGGGCGUAAAGGGCGCGUAGGUGGUUUGAUAAGGGUGUGGUGAAAGUCCGGGGCUCAACCCCGGAUCUGCCGUGCCGACUGUCAAACUCGAGGACUGUAGAGGCAGACGGAAUUCCGGGUGUAGCGGUGGAAUGCGUAGAGAUCCGGAGGAAGACCGGUGGCGAAGGCGGUCUGCUGGGCAGUUUCUGACACUGAGGCGCGACAGCGUGGGGAGCGAACAGG